This 1606-nucleotide ribosomal RNA is filed under the name metagenome. RNAcentral describes it as "bacterial LSU rRNA". It matches the Rfam family "Bacterial large subunit ribosomal RNA", at positions 1193 to 2925 of the family's 2925-position model. The record is from RNAcentral.
ACGGCAUACGAGAUGUGACUGGAGUUCAGACGUGUGCUCUUCCGAUCUCUCCACCCAGACUCAUCCAUCAUUGCACUUAUAGAGAGUUUCUGUUGGUGCUGAUAUUAACGAUAAAUAAGGUGAAAAACCUUAUCGCCGAAAGUCUAAGGGUUCCUGAUCAACGUUAAUCGGAUCAGGGUUAGCCCGGACCUUAGUCCAACCCGAAAGGGGUAGACGAUGGAGAGCAGGUUAAUAUUCCUGCGCCCGCUAUGCAUUAAAAGUGACGGAUAAUGCUAGCCACCUAAGCUGACGGAUUAGCAGAGUGGAACCUUCGGGUGAAGCGUAGUGGUGAAAGUUGUUCCAAGAAAAGCGAGCAUAGCGGCCGGUACCGCAAACCGACACAGGUAGACGGGAUGAGUAUUCUAAGGCGCUCGGGUGAGCCGUGGAGAAGGAACUAGGCAAAUUAAUGCUGUAACUUCGGGAUAAAGCAUACCACAGCGAUGUGGUCUCAGUAAAAUGGUUCAACCAACUGUUUAACAAAAACAUAGGGCCCUGCAAAAUCGAAAGAUGACGUAUAGAGCCUGAUACCUGCCCGGUGCUGGAAGGUUAAGGAAGGAUGUUCGGACGUAAGUCCAAAGCUUCUGACUGAAGCCCCAGUAAACGGCGGCCGUAACUAUAACGGUCCUAAGGUAGCGAAAUUCCUUGUCGGGUAAGUUCCGACCUGCACGAAUGGUCUAAUGAGUUGAACGCUGUCUCCUCCACGAGCCCGGUGAAAUUGUAGUAUCGGUGAAGAUGCCGGUUACCCGCCACGGGACGGAAAGACCCCGUGAACCUUCACUACAGCUUUGCAUUGAUUUUGAAUUACGGAUGUGUAGCAUAGUUGGGACGCUACGAAGCCUUGCCGCCAGGUAGGGUGGAGCGGUCGUUGAAAUACCAACCUUCUUUGAUUUAGAAUCUAAUCCAGAAAUGGAGACAUUGCAUGGUGGGUAGUUUGACUGGGGUGGUCGCCUCCUAAAGUGUAACGGAGGCUUGCAAAGGUUCCCUCAGUACGGUUGGUAAUCGUACGCAGAGCGCAUUAGUAAAAGGGAGCUUGACUGUGAGACAAACAGGUCGAGCAGGGACGAAAGUCGGCUAAAGUGAUCCGGCGGUUCUGUAUGGAAGGGCCGUCGCUCAAAGGAUAAAAGGUACUCCGGGGAUAACAGGCUGAUCUCCCCCAAGAGCUCAUAUCGACGGGGAGGUUUGGCACCUCGAUGUCGGUUCGUCACAUCCUGGGGCUGGAGAAGGUCCCAAGGGUUCGGCUGUUCGCCGAUUAAAGUGGCACGUGAACUGGGUUCAGAACGUCGCAAGACAGUUCGGUCCCUAUCUGUGGUGGGCGUUAGUAAAUUGCGAGAGCAUGACCUUAGUACGAGAGGACCGGGUCGUACGUACCGCUGGUGUAUCAGUUGUGCCGCCAGGUGCAGUGCUGAGUAGCUAAGUACGGACAGGAUAAACGCUGAAAGCAUCUAAGCGUGAAACCUUUCUCAAGAUGAGUUUACUUUUAAGGGCCGUCAGAGACUAUGACGUUGAUAGGCUACAGGUGUAAAGGUGGUAACAUCAAAGCCGAGUAGUACUAAUUGCCCGUAAGCUC